Long non-coding RNA from Oncorhynchus tshawytscha (Chinook salmon), 3106 nucleotides. RefSeq lists it as uncharacterized. The record is from RefSeq and is a predicted model, not a curated record. The transcript is spliced from 9 exons. NCBI's taxonomy places the organism in Eukaryota, Metazoa, Chordata, Actinopteri, Salmoniformes, Salmonidae.
UUGACUACUUUGAAUACUUUAAAAUGGCGGAAGCAUGGAGGAAGCCCUCAAUGCCGCUGGCCAUGCUAAAAUAGCCUUUUGGUCACUAGAGGCCUCUAUCAUUCUCUAUGGUAUUUCCCUCCUUUUUUGAAUUCCCACAGAUGACACGUCAUCAACAAGAGACAAAAUAGGUUUGCAGAAAGCUUGGUUAGAAAAAUACAAUCUUAUUUAGGUUUUGGUACGAGAGCCUGUGUUUAACGUGGUUCCUCUAACAUGUAUAAUGACGUGGAAUUUGGGUGUACACAUUUUCUAAUUUAGAGUGUGUUUACCAACUAAUUAUUCAUCAAGAAAAGUUGUCAUACACGGUUUCUUAGUGUAUGAGGACCUCACAGUUGGCGAAAACAAACCAAACGCUAGUAGCUCUAGUCUUAAGUCUGAAAGAUACGUUAGCUAUCUAAAUUAUACAUUUUUGCCGGAGAUAAUAAGGUCAUGUCUUCUGUUCAAUUUGCUAUCUGCUUCCUUCUGAAAUAUAUUUGAGGUGAGGGGUCUCCUUGCUAUGGCUAUCAGUGCCGACUGCCUUUCUAGCUAGCUAACUAAAUGCACGUUAGCCACAUAAAAUUAACAUUUGACUCCGUGUUCUCAAUUAGCAUAAUUCAAAACACUAGUUAGCUUAUGAUGAAUUAAUUCCAAUAGCUACCUUCAGUGUAAUUUUACCCUUGAAAAAAUAUAUAUAUAUAUUUAACUUUUAUUUAACUCGGCAAGUCAGCUAAGAACAAAUUCUUAUUUUCAAUGACGGCCUAACAAAAGGCCUCCUGCGAGGACGGGGGCUGUGAUUAAAAAUAUUUAAAUAUAGGACAAAACACACAUGACAAGAGAGACCUAAGGUAACAACAUAGCAAGACAGCAACACAUGACAACAGAACAUGGUAGCAGCACAGAACAUGGCACAGACAUUAUUGGGCACUGACAACAGCAAGAAGGUACAGACAACAAUACAUCACGCAUGACAUGUGUAGCUAUAUGAUCAUGCUUUAUGUACCACUCACUCAAGUGUUAUCAGAUCAUGGUUGACACUGAGAAAAGAGCAGUGGGCUGUGGUGCCACAUCCACCAUAGAUCUCAGUGGAAAGAACAAAGAGAAUGAGAAGAAGAAGCGGUCCCGUGUGAAACUAGUGAUGGCAGAUGUGAAGAAACAGGUGGACGUCUAGUUCGGGGAUGUCAACCUUCACAAGGACAGGCUUCUGAGACGACUCAUUGAGGAGUCACAAGAUGGAUAUGUUGACUAAUCAGUGUUGACAUCCUUCAACUGAAUGAAAAAUCGGACAACUGAUUGCAACAGCGCUGAAAAAUGAAUCUGUUGUUGAGGUCAACCUAGAGGGAACUCAAGUUUGACAGCAGCGUCCAAUAGGAAAGGAUCCAAAAGAUGUAGACAACCGAACAAUCUGGAACUUCUGCCCAAGAAAGUAACCCACGACUGGCUAGAGCGAGAGUUCACCAAAUGUGAAAAUGUGGUUUACCUCAGCGUGCCGAGAUACAAAACCACGGGCCACUCCAAAGGGUUCGCCUUCAUUGAGUUUGAGACGGAAGAGGAAGCACAGAAAGCCGUAGAGAUGCUAAACAACCCUCCAGAGGAUGCCCCCAGGAAGCCUGGCAUCUUUCCCAAGACCAAGAACAGGAAGCCUAUCCCUGAUCCACCCUCCCUGAACACCACACAAGACGACAAAGAGGAGGAGAAUAAAUCCAGGGAGAGAGCCAAAAAGGAUGCCUCGGCGUUCCCAGACAGGGGAGAGCUCAGAGAGUGACGCACAGGGAGACAUGCCAUCCAAGCUGAGGAAGACAAGUGAGGAUGACAAGGUAGAAGCGAUGGGAAAGACCUGCAAGUCAAGGGUGAGGAAGAGGAGGAGAAGAUGGAAGACUUCCUACUGAAAGCCAAGAGGACAAGGAAGAAGAAGCACAAGGAGAGGGUGAAGAUCAGGGAAGAUGUUAUUCCUCUCCGGGUUCUCUCCAAGAAAGACUGGCUGAAGCAGGAGUAUAUGACCCUGCAGAAGAGGAGCAUGGGAGCUCUGAAGACAUGCUUGACCAAGUUCCACCACAAGGGGGCAGGAGGGAAGAUGGAAACCAGUCUGCAACAGACAUUGUCAUCAUUAGAGGAUCAAGAAAGCAUAUUCAUGAAUGGAUGUCUUUUACCGAAAGAUGUUUGAUUCAUUUGGCUUCAUUUGCUCAUUAGGUGAAAAAUGUGGCUGAAUUAUGUCACAUCGAAAUGAACAAUUGCUCAUACAUUUGUACUUUUAGGCGACCAUGAACAAAGGUACUGGCAGAAGAUCCUGGUGGACCGCCAAGCUAAGCUGAACCGACCCAGAAACAAGAAAAGGGGCACAGAGAAAAUAAGAUUCCCCUCCAUUUUAAUUUAUAUGGAUUAUGUACAAGUAUCUCUAGCAGCACCCAACCAUUUUAAUUUGAGGAGAAACAUUUUGUUAAUGAGCAUGUUCACUCAUUAUUAUAUGCCUUAAAUUGAUUUUAACAGAGCAAUGUCUCCGUUGUAUCUCUUUCUGCCCCAGCUCAUUUCCAAAGCUGAGAAAAUCAUCAUAGCUAGGACCAGGAGGCCACUAAACACAUCCGCAUCAUGGAGGACUGAUCAAGACUGUCAAGUUCUACUGUGCGUCCUUUCUUUUCUGAAUCAUUUUCUUCCUUAAGAGUUUGACUGUCGGCCAUUUUGUAAUUUCUACAUAGGAUGAUGUUUUUGUGAAGCUUUGUUUUUCUUUUCAUGAGAAUGGUACAAGCAGAGAGAAGCCAUGGUUUUAAAGGGGAUGUUGUAGUUUUAAAAGGGAUACACGAUAACCUUCCACUGACUGGAAGGUUUCCAUGUAUGGCGACUGUUUUACAAGCAGAAAGCUGCUACGUUAUUUAAAUUGGGAAUAGGUUCGCUCACUAGUUUUUUGUGUUGCAGAGAGAGGUGCCAAAAUUUCAGUUAUGAAAUGUGAAUGUAUAUACUGUAAAUAUGAUUUCAAAACGUGCCCAGAAAAGCUUUGUUCAAGAACGAUUUUUCGGUAAUAUGGCAACGAUAACCUUUUUCUUUUUGAAGAAAUUUUUACUAUUUUCUAAAUAAUAAAUAUACAUUUUGGUGCAUA